RNAcentral lists this long non-coding RNA (3235 nucleotides) under Linum usitatissimum (flax). RNAcentral's name for it is "long non-coding RNA (LUSI_LNC005074)". The record is from RNAcentral. Lineage: Eukaryota; Viridiplantae; Streptophyta; Magnoliopsida; Malpighiales; Linaceae.
CAAAACCUGCUGCAACUGGUAAGCCAGCUGGAACCCCAGUAUCUUCUUCCCAAGCAGCAGAUGCAUGGGAGAAAAUGCAGCUGGAGAAGCUGAAAGCGAAGUAUAAGCAGCAGACUGAUCACAUCAUUUCGUGGGAGGACGGGAGGAAGGCUAAAGCAAGGCGUCGACUCGACAGAGCUGAGGUUUGUUUUCUCCAUUACAUCCAAAUAAUUCGAACUAACAGAUUGUCUGAUAACAUGCUUGUUUCUUCUUCGUGUUGGAUGAACUUUUGGGCAGAGUGAAAUGGAGAGGAGCAGGCUGAGAGCAUUGGACAAGUUUCGGGGGGACAUGGAGAUAGUGAAUAAGAUUGCAGGAGGAGCAAAGGCGAAGACAGCUGAGAGGAUGAAGAAGGAAGAGGUUAAAUUGAAGGAGAAAGCUGAUGCUAUCAGAAGAACAAGUGGCAAAUUCCCAGCAAGAAGGCCUUGUUUAUGCAUCUGAUCAUAUUAUGUUUGACUAAUAAUCUGUUGUAAUAUAAUGUUUGUAGCACUUUGUUGUGUUCAGGAAAUGUGUAUGCAUCUGAACAUCCGAAAUUAACUCCAAAUCCUGCCAAAUUCACCUCCAAUUCCGACUUCGAAAACGUAUCCUAUGUCUAUAAUCAGUUCGAAAUGCCAGAUCCAGUAAUGAAAUGAAGAUAAACACCCUUCUGCAUAUAUAUAAUUAAGAACACUCCGACAGAUAAACCAGACACAAAUUACAUUACUACAACAGCAACAACACACCGAUCAUAAAGUUAAUUAAACUCCACAUAAUCCAUACUUAUAUUCCCCCACCAAUCCACCAUACACCUUAAUUAAUUAAGUUAUUAAUCACUUGAAGAACCCUUCAGCCAUCUUAGCAUACCCGCCAAGCCCACCUCCUUCAGAUUUCUCCUCCUUACCGGCGGCGCCUUCCUCGGCCGGCUUGCCGGCUCCCUCAGCGGUCUUCGAACCGCCGCUGUACUGACGGAGAUAUUCCUCCGCCUUGUCGACGUACUGGCCAUAGCCCUUCUCGUCCAGCUUCCCGUACUUGUUGCCGGCCUCGAUCAGGUCCUCCGCCGCGUCGGCCACCUUGGCCUUGUCUAUGCCGUCGGCCGAUUUGCUCUGCAUCGCCGACUGGGCAGCUGCCGCCACCACUUUUGCGCUCGCCAUCAGCUCCGCGUUCGACGGCGCCGCUACCUCUUCCUUCUUGUCGCCGGCCGGGGCCGGGGUCGGUGCUGAGGGGUGUUCAGUUUCCUUGUCGCCACCGGUGGCUCCGGGGAGCUUGGACUCGGCUGCCUUGGUGAUGGAGGAAAGUAGGCCGUCCAUAAUUAAUUCUAGAUGCCAAAGGAGAAAGAAAUUAAAGCAGAGAGAUUUGUGGGAAGUGACUGAGUGAUUGGAGAUUGGAGGAUACGGUGGUUUAUAUAAUGCUUAGGAUAUUUUUGGAUAUCUUGAUUUUUUUUUAUAAAUACGCGAGAUGGACACGUAUUACUUGUGAUAUACGUGUGUACUUGUAUUUUAUACAGUAAUAUACGUGUUGUUUGAGUCUAAAACCUCUCGACGAAUUAAAUCGCUCAUGAAUAGUUGUAUUUGAUGUGAAAUUUUUUUGUUCAUGAUGAGUCGGGUAUGUUUAAUCAAAUAGGUUUGAGUUCGAACAGAAAUAAUUUUGGAUAUAUGCUUUGUUAAUAAAUUUAAUAAUGUAAUGUAUGUUUGCCUCGAAUAUUAUAUAUAUAUAUAUAUAAUUUAUUAUUAUGUNNNNNNNNNNNNNNNNNNNNNNNNNNNNNNNNNNNNNNNNNNNNNNNNNNNNNNNNNNNNNNNNNNNNNUCGAUCGAUUCGUGAUCAGCCCGGCUAAUCACAAAAAAAGCUAUACCAUUUUUACAAAUUAAAAAAAACUAUUAUAUUAGUUAAUAUUGGAGUAGGGAGUGUUUGGCAGGAGUAAGAGUUGCGACGUGGAAGAAUGAUGGCCACAAGAAGUUUAGAAAGGUGGUGACUAUUGAGUAUAAAAGUAUUAUCUUCCUGCUGUUCCAAUAUCUAGAUAUCUUUAUGACAAAAAAUGGGACCAGAAAACACGAUAAUUGUUUUUAUUUGCCGACAAUAACUCUCCAAGUACUCAACUCCGUGAUUAAUACACACCAAUUCAAUUAUAUUUUAAGAAGUUAAUUUGAUGUGCCAAUUAUCGAUACAAAAAAGAGACAUUCUGGUGCACAGUAGAAACUAUUCAGGUGGUUUGUUUAGUUUUGUAAAGAAAUUAUUAUGAACAAAUUCAUGGUUAGAUCCCUUAUGGAUAGUGGAUAGAUCAUUGAGAUUUUUGAAAGAGAAUUUGCAUCAUGUUCCGUGAGUAAUACACAUCGAUAUUUAUCAAUAUAAAAUAAAAAAAUAGAAAGUAAACAUUAUAUUGGUGUUUAUUUUGUGAAUUGUGUUGGAUUAGAAUUAAAAACUUUUAAAUUAUCACACACAUAAUUUUACCAUCAGAAUAAUUCCACUUCAAUACAUUGUAGUUGUUACGGUAAGGUUAAGUAAAAAUGAAAACCAAACUCUUAAUUUUAAUUUAAUCAUAUAGUUAAAGAAUUUCCAAAUAAGAAUAUGAACAAAAAUGUAAACAUCUAAUUCUAGCUAUUAUUCAAUUCCCAAAGCCACGUUACACAACAACACCAUCACAUGACUAACCACAAACAUAAACAGAAAAGAACCAGAUAGAAAAACAACAAGUACAACUGCAACAUAAUUAAUUAACACGCAGAUUUUUCAGCGGCGGGGAAUUAAACUAAAAUAAAAAAACAUGCAUAAUUAUUUUCAAUUUUCAUCCAUUUACUUCUUGGCAGUGGCGUUGUGGAUGGCCUGCUUCCCCUGCUCGACGUAGUGGGUGGUGCCGGCGACGACUGUGUCCUUAACGCCGAUCGCCCCCUCCUUGGUGUUGGCCACGAUCCCCGGGCCGGCCGGUGCAACCACGGCUGGCUUCUUCUCCUCGGCCUUGCCGCCGCCGGGCAUCAUGUCUUGGGCUUUCUUCAAUAGUCCGUCCAUAUCUAGUUAUAAACAAGUAGGAUUCAAAGAGAUGGGAAAUUGGUACGUAAGAGAUUUUAGUGUGUUUUGAUGGGUUUCAUGGGAUAUAUGGUACGUACUAGUUAUAUAGUGGUACAAAUUUUGGGAAGUUUGGAAGAUAUUUUGAUUGGCUUUUGCUGUGUGUGGCUUACAAUUGGCUUGCCGACAUCGAAAUGAACAGGUUCUACGUGAUAGUCUUUACA